GCAGGGAUGACGGAGUGGCCAAACGUGCUAGGUUCAGGGCCUAGUGGCUUAGUGCCUACGAGGGUUCGAAUCCCUCUCCCUGCA
RNAcentral lists this transfer RNA (84 nucleotides) under Microcaldota archaeon. RNAcentral's name for it is "Candidatus Micrarchaeota archaeon tRNA-Leu". It matches the Rfam family "tRNA". From Rfam's summary of the family: Transfer RNA (tRNA) molecules are approximately 80 nucleotides in length. Their secondary structure includes four short double-helical elements and three loops (D, anti-codon, and T loops). RNAcentral also lists the same sequence under 1 other name. The record is from RNAcentral. Lineage: Archaea; Nanobdellati; Microcaldota.